Microcebus murinus (gray mouse lemur) is the source of this 137-nucleotide small nucleolar RNA. NCBI's taxonomy places the organism in Eukaryota, Metazoa, Chordata, Mammalia, Primates, Cheirogaleidae. The record is from Ensembl.
UUGGCCCUGAAUCAAGGCCAGCAGUUUGCUGAAGCUGUUGGUUUCAAACAGGAGCCUAAAGAAUUAUCUUUCUAUGGUCUGUUGGCCAUUUCAGAACUUUGGAAAUGUAAUGGUCAAUUCAUUAGAAAGAAACAUCU